Molecule: ribosomal RNA, 449 nt
Filed under: uncultured bacterium
Lineage: Bacteria
Description: partial 16S ribosomal RNA
Rfam family: Bacterial small subunit ribosomal RNA
Source: RNAcentral
AACGAACGCUGGCGGCAUGCCUAACACAUGCAAGUCGAACGAACCCUUCGGGGUUAGUGGCGCACGGGUGCGUAACGCGUGGGAAUCUGCCCUUUGCUUCGGAAUAACAGUUAGAAAUGACUGCUAAUACCGGAUGAUGUCUUCGGACCAAAGAUUUAUCGGCAAGGGAUGAGCCCGCGUAGGAUUAGGUAGUUGGUGGGGUAAAGGCCUACCAAGCCGACGAUCCUUAGCUGGUCUGAGAGGAUGAUCAGCCACACUGGGACUGAGACACGGCCCAGACUCCUGCGGGAGGCAGCAGUGGGGAAUAUUGGACAAUGGGCUCAAGCCUGAUCCAGCAAUGCCGCGUGAGUGAUGAAGGCCUUCGGGUCGUAAAGCUCUUUUACCAGGGAUGAUAAUGACAGUACCUGGAGAAUAAGCUCCGGCUAACUCCGUGCCAGCCGCCGCCGUAA